GCGUUGAGGUGGCAGUUUUAAGAUGCCGAGUCUUUCUUGAAGUGCUUAGAUAUUUCCUAAUGCCUAGAGUGUAAAUGCGAGGCCCACUUGGUCCUCUUGAAUAUAAAUACUCACAUUAAUUUGAAUGUUUACGUCAAUAUGAUUUAAGAUAGGUCUUGAAUACUAAAUAAUAAUCACAUUUUAGUUACCAAAGGAAAAUAAAAUUGUUAAUGCUGAAAGUAAAAAGUAGAAGUCCAAUUAAGUAAAAAUCACCCCAUAUAGACAUUAAGAUUGUCUUUUUGAUUGCUAGGACGUGUCAUUAAAAUCUUUCUAAGGAUUUAGUUUGAUCACAGGAAACAAAUUUGAAGAGUUGUUGGCUAAUAUUCUAGAAGGAAUGCUGGGUGCCAAAAGUCAGAUCAGAGGACGAAGUUAAAAAGUUGUGCUAUACCCUAGCUUAGAAGUGGUAAAGUAUUUUCAUGAAAUAUCAGAGAUUAUGAGAUUAUGGUACAAAUUUAAUUGGUUUCUGUUAUAUGAAGCUUACUUUUGGCAGUUAAUAUGAUAGUUGUGAAUUGCAUUUUACUUAUUUCACACUAGGGAGUUUGAUAAUGCAUGUAGCAUUAAAUAGAUAAGGUUUCUUGUAAUCGUUGAAAACAACGAUUACUAUUGUUCAUAAUUCUUUGGAUUUUCAAACUAGAAGGACUAUGUGAAAAUGAAAGGGUGACUAGAUUUAUAAA
Long non-coding RNA from Rhodamnia argentea, 713 nucleotides. RefSeq lists it as uncharacterized. The transcript is spliced from 3 exons. Lineage: Eukaryota; Viridiplantae; Streptophyta; Magnoliopsida; Myrtales; Myrtaceae. The record is from RefSeq and is a predicted model, not a curated record.